This 255-nucleotide ribosomal RNA is filed under the name uncultured bacterium. RNAcentral describes it as "partial 16S ribosomal RNA". It matches the Rfam family "Bacterial small subunit ribosomal RNA", at positions 524 to 776 of the family's 1533-position model. The record is from RNAcentral.
UACGUAGGGGGCGAGCGUUGUCCGGAAUCAUUGGGCGUAAAGCGCGUGUAGGCGGCCCGAUAAGUCCGCUGUGAAAGUCCAGGGCUCAACCCUGGGAUGCCGGUGGAUACUGUCGGGCUCGAGUCCGGAAGAGGCGAGUGGAAUUCCUGGAUGUAGCGGUGAAAUGACGCAGAUAUCAGGAGGAACACCAAUGGCGAAGGCAGCUCGCUGGGACGUGACUGACGCUGAGACGCGAAAGCGUGGGGAGCAAACAGG